RNAcentral lists this long non-coding RNA (1053 nucleotides) under Urocitellus parryii (Arctic ground squirrel). RNAcentral describes it as "lncRNA (ENSUPAG00010022840.1)". The record is from RNAcentral. Lineage: Eukaryota; Metazoa; Chordata; Mammalia; Rodentia; Sciuridae.
GUCCGGGGCUGCGUGGGUUCCCCGGCCGCAGCCGCUUUGCGGGACCCAGGAGUGCAGCCGGGGGGCGCGCCGUUUGGGGGUCCAAGUCACUGCAGGGUCACAAUGGAAUAAGUUUUGUCAGGAAACACGUGUGUGCCCUGCCGAGAUGCCUGGAAAAUCACAAAGAAUAGUCAUCAAUACCCUCUGUGCUUGGAAAGAUGUUCCGGGAAGAGAAUGUGCUGGACUUUUGGGUCUUCCUAGAGUCCCCAAGUGGACUCACAUCCAGCUUCACUUUGGAAUAUGGUCGGGGAGCAAAUAUGGGAGUGGCACAGUUCCUCCCCCUCCUGGGCUGGGGGUACGUAAGUGAUUUAUGUCGCUUUGAGUGAUGUGUUCUCUUCUUGCUUUUCCUGUGCAAUUUGACAUCUUGUUUGCCAAGGAUUGAACCCAGGGCCUUCCACAGGCUAGACAUGUGGCACUCUACCACUGAGCUACAUGCCCAAACUCCCCUUUCCACACAUACUCUUUUUAAAUUUUGUUUUGAGACAGGAUCUUGCUAAGUUGCCCUGGCUGACCUUGUAUUCAAAGUCCUCUUGCCUCAGUCCCUGACAGAGCUGGGAUUACAAGUGAGUUGCUGGGAUUACAGGUGUGUUCCACCCUAGCAGUCUGACAUUUUAAGGAUACUGUCUGGGCUGAAUGUUAUGUUUUACUCUUAUUAAUUAAUUCUCUCAAUGUGUCUUUGGGUUCCUGCUCCUCUAGGCAUUGAUUUUUCACCUUUGAGCACAGAGUGAUGUGGCAGUGGUGUCAGAACUGUUCCUGAACCAACUAGUAGAGGUUGCCUGUGAAGGCAACUCCACAGUGUGGGGAAUCCGAGAAAGAGCGCAGAGGCCCUGCAAGAUGUUCCUCUGACCCCUGAGAUUGCCCACUUGGUGGAGUUUUGCUGCUGGAUCUACCAGUGGGCUCCAUUUCCUUUCUUUCUGGUCCCUUCUUGUGCUUAGGAAUGGAUCAGACAUCAGUUCUCUCACCUGCUCCUGACUUCAAAAUGUUUCUGCUCAAUAAAUAGAACUUAGCUGCUCA